AAUUCAAUCCACACUUAUUCCCCAGUACUCAUAUAUGGUAACAAAAAGGCCACUCAAUUGUUUUAAAAAUACUGACUCUGAGGGAUUUACUUCAAGAAACGUGGAUUCAACAAAUACUGAUAAAAUUUCUACAGGCUUCAGAUCCCGCAAUAGAAUAAAAUAAAGUUGGAUUGUUGUUGGAUUUAUUGUGUAUGGAGAUAACAGGAAUUACUAUAUACCUCAGAAACCAGCCUCAAUGCUGGAUACUCUGCCAGAAGAUCUUUCAACGUAGUGGGACUGGACACGACUUUGUUCCGUCGGUAUGGAUAUGUUAGCUCCAUUAGUUCUUUUAUUAAAGCGACGUUUCUGUUUUUGUUUUUCGCCAUUUCGCGUUUUAUGGCAGCGAGGUGGUCCUGGCACGUUUGCGUGGUCUCACCUUCCACCAACGCAAGCGGAGCAUCAUCGGCCACCUUGUUCUUCUUCGUUUGAACACCGAUCAUACAAACACCGCUCUGACUUUGAUAGCCUCUUUUGGUUUUUCUUAGGUUCUUAAACCCGUUCUUUAUCGACAUAUCCCAAGAUGACUAGAAACAAUGUGAAUAGAUAUGACACAGUGUAUGUUCGCAGUUGAUAGAAUAAACAUGGUUUGGACACCACCUAAAACUACAAUACAACUCAUUAUGUUGAGGUAGACUUAUGCAAAAGAUUGUUUCUUUCUCAUCACAUGUCUAUUGUAUUUUGCAGAGAUAAACCAAUAGCAAUCUUUAAUUAACAUAUUUUUCAAGUCAAGGUUGAGGAGCUCGGAAAGACGAAUGGCAUCAAUUUUGGUUAGUUUAGCUAAAAUACAAUAGACACGUGACGAGAAAGGAACCUUUUUUGCAUAAAGCUGGACAAUAACAUAGUUAAUGAGUUGUAUUGUACUUUUAUUUAGUCUCCAAACCAUAUAUAUCCAUCAACUAUGUUAUGAUAUAAGUAAUUAUUGGUAAGGCCGAACCCCUAUAGGUGAAACGCCGCUCUUCUCAUGCGCCGAACCUAAUGCAAAUGAGCUGGAACAAAACUUAUUUAUAUGCAUUAGGUUCGCCGCAUGAUAAGAACGACGUUUUUCCUAGGUCUAAGCUUGAAUGCAAUAUUUUUCACAAUCCUGUGGUUUGCAUUUUUUUCUGUUGAUCUUCCAGUUAGUGCAGUCCUGAGAAGGAUUUGGUCCCUUUUAAAAGGGAAUAGAAACGUCAGACAACACCAAUUUCAACAGUCAGUCCUUCUUAGAACUGUUUUUACCUGCAUGGUAGAUCAACAGAGCAAACAUGUGACGAUAAUCAUGCUUUAAGACCAUUCACUUUAUUGAAGCGUAAUUGGGGGAUUCCUAAAAACUUGGGAAUCGACCAUUCAAAAGUGACCUUUAGUCACUGAUCCAACAAUAAAGGAAACAAUAUGAUAUAUAAUAAUCUCCAUUCAAUAUACAUGCAGUAUAUAAGCGUAUAAUUUUUUUGCCAAACUUGUCAACGUUUUUUGUUUAAUCGAUUAUGCUUCUUUAGAAUUAUACCAAAAUCAAAGCAUUGCAUGAAGAAGUUAAGAAACCGGCUCAUGAUAAACUCAAAUUUUAGGUGUUUUACAAUACACAAGGCCGAAGCUGACCAACACAGUAUUUGGAUUCUUUUGCAACUGAUAGGAUGAAAUCCAUCUAUCAUUAUAUUGGAUCGUAUCUCCAGUCUUCUGGAAAGCUGGCCGCGGUACGAUGCCAUCUG
RNAcentral lists this long non-coding RNA (1721 nucleotides) under Dendronephthya gigantea. RNAcentral's name for it is "uncharacterized LOC114541502, transcript variant X1". The record is from RNAcentral. Lineage: Eukaryota; Metazoa; Cnidaria; Anthozoa; Malacalcyonacea; Nephtheidae.